UAAGGAAUAUUGCGCAAUGGGGGAAACCCUGACGCAGCAACGCCGCGUGGAGGAUGACACUUUUCGGAGCGUAAACUCCUUUUAUCAGGAAAGAAUAAUGACGGUACCUGAUGAAUAAGCACCGGCUAACUCCGUGCCAGCAGCCGCGGUAAUACGGGGGGUGCAAGCGUUACUCGGAAUCACUGGGCGUAAAGGACGCGUAGGCGGAUUAUCAAGUCUUUUGUGAAAUCUAGUGGCUUAACCACUAAACUGCUUAGGAAACUGAUAGUCUAGAGUAGGGGAGAGGUAGAUGGAAUUCUUGGUGUAGGGGUAAAAUCCGUAGAGAUCAAGAAGAAUACCCAUUGCGAAAGCGAUCUGCUGGAACCUAACUGACGCUGAGGCGUGAGAGCGUGGGUAGCAAACAGG
This 405-nucleotide ribosomal RNA is filed under the name bacterium. Its description in RNAcentral is "partial 16S ribosomal RNA". It matches the Rfam family "Bacterial small subunit ribosomal RNA", at positions 355 to 776 of the family's 1533-position model. The record is from RNAcentral.